This 465-nucleotide ribosomal RNA is filed under the name uncultured bacterium. Its description in RNAcentral is "partial 16S ribosomal RNA". It matches the Rfam family "Bacterial small subunit ribosomal RNA", at positions 28 to 507 of the family's 1533-position model. The record is from RNAcentral.
GAUGAACGCUGGCGGCGUGCUUAACACAUGCAAGUCGAACGGAAAGGCUCCUGCUUGCAGUGGUACUCGAGUGGCGAACGGGUGGGUAACACGUGGGUGGUCUGCCCUGCACUUCGGGAUAAGCAUUGGAAACUGGGGCUAAUACCGGAUAGUACGAUGGUUUGGAUGCCAUUGUGGAAAGUUUUUCGGUGUGGGAUGAGCUCGCGGCCUAUGAGCUUGUUGGGGGGGUAAUGGCCUACCAAGGCGUCGACGGGUAGCCGGCCUGAGAGGGGGGACGGGCACCAUAGUCCUGCGGUAGGGCGCAGAGUCGUACGGGGGGCAGCAGUGGCGAGUAUGGCGCAACGGUGGCAAGUGUGUGGAGACGACGUUGGGUUGGGGAAGAAGGCCUUCCGGUUGUGAACUGAUUUAGCUAGAGACGAAGCGUAAGUGACGGUACCUGGAGAAGAAGCACCGGCUAACUACGUG